UGGGGAAUAUUGGACAAUGGGGGCAACCCUGAUCCAGCCAUGCCGCGUGAGUGAUGAAGGCCUUCGGGUUGUAAAGCUCUUUUGGCGGGGACGAUGAUGACGGUACCCGCAGAAUAAGCCCCGGCUAACUUCGUGCCAGCAGCCGCGGUAAGACGAAGGGGGCUAGCGUUGUUCGGAAUUACUGGGCGUAAAGCGAGUGUAGGCGGUUGCCGUAGUCAGGUGUGAAAGCCUUGAGCUCAACUCAAGAAAUGCACUUGAUACUGGGUGACUAGAGGACCGGAGAGGAUAGUGGAAUUCCCAGUGUAGUGGUGAAAUACGUAGAGAUUGGGAAGAACACCAGUGGCGAAGGCGGCUAUCUGGACGGUUACUGACGCUAAGACUCGAAAGCGUGGGGAGCAAACAGGAUUAGAUACCCUGGUAGUCCACGCCGUAAACGAUGGGUGCUAGACGUUGGCGAGCUUGCUCGUCAGUGUCGCGGCUAACGCGUUAAGCACCUCGCCUGGGGAGUACGGCCGCAAGGUUGAAACUUAAAGGAAUUGACGGGGGUCAUAAGCUG
RNAcentral lists this ribosomal RNA (556 nucleotides) under uncultured bacterium. RNAcentral's name for it is "partial 16S ribosomal RNA". It matches the Rfam family "Bacterial small subunit ribosomal RNA", at positions 355 to 932 of the family's 1533-position model. The record is from RNAcentral.